This 414-nucleotide ribosomal RNA is filed under the name uncultured bacterium. RNAcentral's name for it is "bacterial SSU rRNA". It matches the Rfam family "Bacterial small subunit ribosomal RNA", at positions 352 to 782 of the family's 1533-position model. The record is from RNAcentral.
CAGUGGGGAAUCUUGCGCAAUGGGCGAAAGCCUGACGCAGCAACGCCGCGUGCGGGAUGACGGCCUUCGGGUUGUAAACCGCUUUCAGCAGGGACGAAAAUGACGGUACCUGCAGAAGAAGCUCCGGCUAACUACGUGCCAGCAGCCGCGGUAAUACGUAGGGAGCGAGCGUUGUCCGGAUUUAUUGGGCGUAAAGAGCUCGUAGGCGGUUCCGUAAGUCGCGAAGUCAAAUCUCUGGGCUCAACCCAGAUUCGCUUCCGAUACUGCGGUGACUGGAGUCCGGUAGGGGAGUGUGGAAUUCCUGGUGUAGCGGUGAAAUGCGCAGAUAUCAGGAGGAACACCAACAGCGAAGGCAGCACUCUGGGCCGGUACUGACGCUGAGGAGCGAAAGCGUGGGGAGCGAACAGGAUUAGA